AAUGAGACUUCCCCGAACCUAACUAAUACGGGGGCUGCGGUAGUAGGAGUAACUCGCAGCGGAAGCAUCGCACCGGCUGAAAAAGGCCGGAGAGAGCUUUC
This 101-nucleotide non-coding RNA is filed under the name unclassified sequences. The record is from Rfam.